UGGGGAAUAUUGCACAAUGGGGGAAACCCUGAUGCAGCGACGCCGCGUGAGCGAAGAAGUAUUUCGGUAUGUAAAGCUCUAUCAGCAGGGAAGAAAAUGACGGUACCUGACUAAGAAGCCCCGGCUAACUACGUGCCAGCAGCCGCGGUAAUACGUAGGGGGCGAGCGUUGUCCGGAAUUACUGGGCGUAAAGGGUGCGUAGGCGGUACUUUAAGUUGGAUGUGAAAUCCCCGGGCUUAACCUGGGGCCUGCAUCCAAUACUGGAGAACUAGAGUGCAGGAGAGGGAAGCGGAAUUCCUAGUGUAGCGGUGAAAUGCGUAGAUAUUAGGAAGAACACCAGUGGCGAAGGCGGCUUUCUGGACUGUAACUGACGCUGAGGCACGAAAGCGUGGGGAGCAAACAGGAUUAGAUACCCUGGUAGU
This 422-nucleotide ribosomal RNA is filed under the name uncultured Anaerostipes sp. RNAcentral describes it as "bacterial SSU rRNA". It matches the Rfam family "Bacterial small subunit ribosomal RNA", at positions 355 to 794 of the family's 1533-position model. The record is from RNAcentral. Lineage: Bacteria; Bacillati; Bacillota; Clostridia; Lachnospirales; Lachnospiraceae.